Molecule: long non-coding RNA, 1289 nt
Organism: Etheostoma cragini (Arkansas darter)
Lineage: Eukaryota; Metazoa; Chordata; Actinopteri; Perciformes; Percidae
Exons: 3
Source: RefSeq, a predicted model, not a curated record
UUAACGCUUGACUCCGCAAUGCUAGCUAGCCAAGUUUGGAAGAAUUAGCUAGCUGUGCUACACGUUAGCCUGGAGCAUUUCGUGCUGUGACUGUGUGGACCGGGUUGUUGUUCCGUUAAAAUGAUAAAGGGUGCGAGUUGACAAUGCCGAAAAGUAUCACAACAUUAUGGAGUAGCUAACGUUAACGAUAACUUAACGUUAGCUAACUGUCUGCUCAACUUCACCUGGCAAAGGGCCAUAUUGCGAGUUAACACUGAAUGACAUUACUACCACGUAACGCCGUGUGUGAUACACUUGUGUUAUCGAGGCCGUAUCAGGAUGAUUUCCCGUUGUGUAUCUCUUUGACAUUGCUUGUUCGGCUGUAUAUGAACGGAGCUUUUCUUGCUUUACGUCGGCUAAAGACACAUGAGGAGCAACAGGUGUGGUGAUGGGACAACCAGCAACAAAGAACUGGCCAUGAGCUGUGAUUGACCGUUUUUCUUCUUUAACUAGCAGUGACUCAUCCCUGUGUCUGCCAUGAUGUCCACUCCCAAGACUCAUACACUGAUGAUUACAGCUGUGGAUGAGGCACGUGGUCGGUGGAGUUCUUCAUUGAUUUGGAUCUUAUUCCAGGCCCCAGUUUUCCCACACUAAAAAUGUUCAUCAAGAUUGACACUGGCUGACUAAAAAGACAUGGUAGUCCGGUCAAAAGAGAGUCAGACCUUGGAUCAACGCUUGUGUCAUUACCUCAAGUUUCGGUUAAAUGGUAAAAAAAAGAUUUAUCUUGGAUGUACAUCCUAUAUUGUGAUGAGUACCACAUGUUAAAUUGGGAUUUAAGCCAUUGUGUUACAGUACAAUAUUUCGGUUCAGAGAAAAACGGAGAAAAGAGAAAAGCAAUGUGGGAAACGGAGGGAAAUAAGUACAAGCCCUGUUCAAUCAUCUCCAAAGCUUUUCCCUCGCUGUUUAAAUUUUUAUAUUCUGUCUACGAAAAACAUCCACCCACUGCCUGAGAAAAAUGCAAUAUUGUAAUAUUGCAACUGUAGCAGAGCGUAAAUGAAAAGGCAUUUUGCGGUGAAUAUUAAAAAAAAAACACCUUGGGUAAUUAUUGUUAAACCAGAAAAAUAUUCCACUGUGGAGCAAGGCAGCGUCUCCAUAGUGAACAACUGUUUUUAAUAGAAGUAAAGCCCAAAAGACUGCACUCCUCCACCCCCUCAAAUCUGAGGCCUUAGAUCAGCGAGGGUUUUGUAGCACCUUCUUAACAGCGUUCAGGGUCAGGAGAAAAUCUGAUUGAGAAAAGAAAGGGUGUCCUU